This 500-nucleotide ribosomal RNA is filed under the name uncultured bacterium. RNAcentral's name for it is "bacterial SSU rRNA". It matches the Rfam family "Bacterial small subunit ribosomal RNA", at positions 32 to 515 of the family's 1533-position model. The record is from RNAcentral.
GACGAAACGCUGGCGGCGUGGAUUAGGCAUGCAAGUCGAACGGUAGGAUACCUUCGGGUAUCUGAGAGUGGCGAACGGGUGAGUAACACGUAGGUGAUCUACCCUCAAGAUUGGGACAACCCAGGGAAACUUGGGCUAAUACCGGAUGAAAGCAGCAGUGAUGUUGUUUGAAAGGUGGCGUAAGCUGCCGUUUGGGGAUGAGCCUGCGCUCUAUUAGUUAGUUGGCGGGGUAAAGGCCCAUCAAGGCGAUGAUAGAUAGGCGGCCUUAACGGGUGGUCGCCCACACUGGGAUUGAGAUACGGCCCAGACUCCUACGGGAGGCAGCAGUCGAGAAUAGUCUACAAUGGCCGAAAGGCUGAUAGUGCGACGCCGCGUGAACGAAGAAGCCCUUCGGGUGUAAAGUUCUUUUAUUAUGUGAGCAGUGCUUUCUUAUGUGAACAGCAUGGGGAGAGAGAUAUUAGCAUAUGAAUAAGCAACGGCUAACUCCCGUGCCCAGCACG